This 96-nucleotide transfer RNA is filed under the name Achromobacter dolens. Its description in RNAcentral is "tRNA-Ala(ggc)". The record is from RNAcentral. Lineage: Bacteria; Pseudomonadati; Pseudomonadota; Betaproteobacteria; Burkholderiales; Alcaligenaceae.
CGCCCGCUUGGGCAGGGCCUCGUCGACCACGGCCUGGCCGGCCGGCGUGAGGCGGGCGUUGGUCAGCCGGUUGUCGUUCGGAUCCACGGCGCGCGC